Long non-coding RNA from Hibiscus syriacus, 267 nucleotides. RefSeq lists it as uncharacterized. The record is from RefSeq and is a predicted model, not a curated record. The transcript is spliced from 3 exons. NCBI's taxonomy places the organism in Eukaryota, Viridiplantae, Streptophyta, Magnoliopsida, Malvales, Malvaceae.
AUUUUUUUAGAAUGCUCGUGAACUUCUCUUCUCUCCUCCAGCAGGUUGCUGAAACCCAUAGCCAAGCAAUCCGAACAAUCUGAAAGGAAAGGACAAAGCUUGUGACUAGUAUUAUCGUAUACAAGUUCUUAAGUGAGGCAAAGGUUCUAGUAAGGAUAAGUACGAUCAGUAAGGAGCUAUCGGAGCAUCUUUUGGAAAGACAUACAUAUCAUCAGUAUCAGUAAGACAACUAUGAUGUUUCCUUUGACUUAUAAUGGCAUGUAUAAU